This 546-nucleotide ribosomal RNA is filed under the name uncultured bacterium. RNAcentral's name for it is "bacterial SSU rRNA". It matches the Rfam family "Bacterial small subunit ribosomal RNA", at positions 777 to 1320 of the family's 1533-position model. The record is from RNAcentral.
AAUAGAUACCCCGGUAGUCCACGCCGUAAACGAUGAGUGCUAAGUGUUGGGGGGGUUUCCGCCCCUCAGUGCUGCAGCUAACGCAUUAAGCACUCCGCCUGGGGAGUACGGUCGCAAGACUGAAACUCAAAGGAAUUGACGGGGGCCCGCACAAGCGGUGGAGCAUGUGGUUUAAUUCGAAGCAACGCGAAGAACCUUACCAGGUCUUGACAUCCCGGUGACCACUAUGGAGACAUAGUUUCCCCCUUCGGGGGCAACGGUGACAGGUGGUGCAUGGUUGUCGUCAGCUCGUGUCGUGAGAUGUUGGGUUAAGUCCCGCAACGAGCGCAACCCUUAUUCUUAGUUGCCAUCAUUCAGUUGGGCACUCUAAGGAGACUGCCGGUGAUAAACCGGAGGAAGGUGGGGAUGACGUCAAAUCAUCAUGCCCCUUAUGACCUGGGCUACACACGUGCUACAAUGGACGGUACAAACGGUUGCCAACCCGCGAGGGGAGCUAAUCCGAUAAAACCGUUCUCAGUUCGGAUUGUAGGCUGCAACUCGCCUACA